GAGCAAAAGCGUCGUAUAAAAUGGCGCAGUUUGCAUUGAAGGUUGGCUAUAUCAAAUAAUAUCGAUUCUCCGUGCCUAUCAAAUUAAUCUCGUUUUGAUUAUGGCCUCGAACAAGUCGAUACAUU
Molecule: small nucleolar RNA, 125 nt
Organism: Cannabis sativa
Lineage: Eukaryota; Viridiplantae; Streptophyta; Magnoliopsida; Rosales; Cannabaceae
Source: RefSeq, a predicted model, not a curated record